Molecule: ribosomal RNA, 374 nt
Filed under: uncultured organism
Description: partial 16S ribosomal RNA
Rfam family: Bacterial small subunit ribosomal RNA
Source: RNAcentral
GUAGGUGGCAAGCGUUGUCCGGAAUUAUUGGGCGUAAAGCGCGCGCAGGCGGUUCUUUAAGUCUGAUGUGAAAGCCCACGGCUCAACCGUGGAGGGUCAUUGGAAACUGGAGAACUUGAGUACAGAAGAGGAAAGCGGAAUUCCACGUGUAGCGGUGAAAUGCGUAGAGAUGUGGAGGAACACCAGUGGCGAAGGCGGCUUUCUGGUCUGUAACUGACGCUGAGGCGCGAAAGCGUGGAGAGCAAACAGGAUUAGAUACCCUGGUAGUCCACGCCGUAAACGAUGAGUGCUAAGUGUUAGGGGGUUUCCGCCCCCCUUAGUGCUGCAGCUAACGCAUUAAGCACUCCGCCCCGGGGAGUACGGCCGCAAGGCUG